RNAcentral lists this long non-coding RNA (1637 nucleotides) under Homo sapiens (human). RNAcentral's name for it is "HSALNT0370675". The record is from RNAcentral. Lineage: Eukaryota; Metazoa; Chordata; Mammalia; Primates; Hominidae.
UGAAGGGUCAAAAAGGCAAAGGGUGUUUUAGAAGUUUAGCAGACAGCUUUUGGUACAAGGAAAAGAGAGGGAGAGCUGGAGAGAGGGAAACAGGGUGAAGAGGCAGGAAUCUGGCUCGCAUUAAGCUGGGAGGUUCCAACCAUUGAUUCGCUCUGGAAUUAUGGCUUAAAAAAAUUGCAAGACAUGGUUUAUUCAUGAGGGUUCUUUUUUUUUCUUAAGUAGCCACCCAAAGUUACACUUUGGUUCACCAAGACGAAGACUCAUCCUUCCUCUCUCUAUGGAUCUUUCAGAUGAAGAAAUUAAGGCUCAGGAGGGAGGAAAAAAAUAAAAGAAAGAAUUGUCCAAGGUCACCAAGGCAUCUGGACUCCCAUAUGUUGAGCUACUUCUGCUUGUGGGGCAGCUGCAAUACAUGAAUUCUUCACUACCAACUUAAUAUAAGCUAAGGAAUGCAAAAGAUUGCCAGCAAAUGACCAGAAGCUAGAGGGGAGGCAUGGAACAGAUCUUCUCUCACAGCCUCAGAAGGAACUAGCCCUACUGACAGCUCGAUCUCAGACUUCUAGACUCCAGACUGGUGAGACAACAUAUUUCUGUUGUUUAAGCCACCCAGUUUGUGGCAAUUUGUUACGGCAGACCAGCAAAUGAAUACAGGAUCUCUACAAAAUACACUCACCUUUCAGGCAGGCCAAGAGGAUUGUUUACUGUCAGAGCUCCAAGCCCGGAACUUACUCACACACCAAAAAAGGGGCAUGGAAGUGGGAGCAAGGAUGGAGUCACGAUCCCAAAGUCCCGGAGCAUCUUCUCCACACAUUCAUGAGAGUCAGGCACAGGUUUUUAUCUCAUGCCCACAUUCAGGGGGCCAUCAUCCUGAGCCUGCACCCCCAGAGAAAGUGAGGCCCAGGAAUUUGUGAGUUUGUUGUUGCUUGUGUUACCGAAUAUCCAUGAACUGCAAAAUGGCACCAUGACCUAAUGAAGUAUUAACCCUGCCUCAUCACUGCACAUCAACCAUGAAAGCAGGCUCUUCUUGGCCAGGGCUGUUUCAAGGAGAUUUAGGAAUAUAUUUGAGGCUUCUGAAGGAUAGUUGGAAAUUAGGGGGUCUGCAAAUGGACCUCCAAGAACUCAGGACAGGGGACAUGGACCAGAAGCACCCCCUGAUCUGCCUGGGGUCUCCAACAUACUGUUCUUCCCUCCCACCCCUUUCAAGGGCUAUCCAACGUUGGAAAGAAUAAAAACUCAGAGUCAAUAGAUCUGGGUUUACAUCACAGCUUUACUCAUGAGACAUGAGACAAAUGACUUAGUCCUUCUGAGCCUCAGUUUUCUCCUCUGUAAAAUGGGAAUAAUCAUUGUAGAUGCUUCACAGAGUUGUGAAAACAUAAUGGGUAUCUAUCUAUCUAUCUAUCUAUCUAUCUAUCUAUCUAUCUGGAAUGAAAAUGCACCUGGCUCAUAGUAGACACUUGUUAACUCGAAGCUGCUUUAUUUUUGUUGUUGAUUUCUUAUUGUGAUUUUUUGUGACAUUAAAAGGCAAAGUUUACUUUCAGAGCUCCAAGCCCGAACUAACUCACCCACCAAAAAAGGGGCACGGAGGUGGGAGGGAGGAUGGGGGUAAAACUAAUAGUUGUCAGCCUGAUCCCAUUGAUCUC